Long non-coding RNA from Aricia agestis (brown argus), 91 nucleotides. RefSeq lists it as uncharacterized. The record is from RefSeq and is a predicted model, not a curated record. NCBI's taxonomy places the organism in Eukaryota, Metazoa, Arthropoda, Insecta, Lepidoptera, Lycaenidae. The transcript is spliced from 4 exons.
AUUGCGUCAAAAAUAUUGUGUGGCGGUACAACUAGCGCCACGGUCCUACAUCGCGCUAUCGAAGUUUUGUAAGUAUGUCGGCGCGAUUUAU